This 253-nucleotide ribosomal RNA is filed under the name uncultured bacterium. RNAcentral describes it as "partial 16S ribosomal RNA". It matches the Rfam family "Bacterial small subunit ribosomal RNA", at positions 524 to 776 of the family's 1533-position model. The record is from RNAcentral.
UACGUAGGGGGCGAGCGUUGUCCGGAUUUACUGGGCGUAAAGAGCGCGUAGGCGGAUGUUUAAGUGUGGCCUCAAAGCCCCCGGCUCAACCGGGGAUCUGGGUUGCAAACUGGGCAUCUUGAGGGGGAUAGAGGAGAGUGGAAUUCCUGGUGUAGCGGUGAAAUGCGUAGAUAUCAGGAGGAACACCCGUGGCGAAGGCGGCUCUCUGGGUCCGCCCUGACGCUGAGGCGCGAAAGCGUGGGGAGCGAACAGG